Molecule: ribosomal RNA, 373 nt
Filed under: uncultured bacterium
Lineage: Bacteria
Description: bacterial SSU rRNA
Rfam family: Bacterial small subunit ribosomal RNA
Source: RNAcentral
ACACGUAGGGGGCGAGCGUUGUUCGGAAUCAUUGGGCGUAAAGGGUGCGCAGGCGGCAUGCCAAGUCUGGUGUGAAAGAUCCCGGCUCAACCGGGGAGACGCACUGGAAACUGGCGUGCUUGAGUACAGGAGGGGGAGUUGGAAUUCCAGGUGUAGGGGUGAAAUCUGUAGAUAUCUGGAAGAACACCGGUGGCGAAGGCGAACUCCUGGCCAUGUACUGACGCUGAGGCACGAAGGCGUGGGGAGCAAACAGGUUUAGAUACCCUGGUAGUCCACGCAGUAAACGAUGUACACUAGGUGGUGGGCGGUAGCGCUCAGUACCGAAGCAAACGCAUUAAGUGUACCGCCUGGGGAGUAUGCUCGCAAGGGUGAA